Non-coding RNA from Tritrichomonas musculus, 72 nucleotides. NCBI's taxonomy places the organism in Eukaryota, Parabasalia, Tritrichomonadida, Tritrichomonadidae. The record is from the annotation of a GenBank genome assembly.
GGGAGAUUAGUCUAGUGGUAUGAUUCUCGUUUCGGGGACGAGAGGCCUCGGGUUCGAAUCCCGAAUCUCUCA